UGGGUGCCAGCCAGGAUCGCUCUCUGCACUCCCUCCUGCUGGUGGCUGGCAGCCUGGUGGGUGUUGAUCAUCCUCACGGCUGAGCAGCGGGAGCACUGAGGAGGGAGCAAGACAGGCUCGGCUCACAGCAAUGAGGGAAGCUGGCCAAGGUGGAGGCGGAGGAGGCGUGAAACCGACAGUGGAGCCCAGGCCGGGGGCUGAGAGAGAGACAGAAACCUCAGACUGGAGGCAGCCUGGAGCGGGAGAGGCGGGCAUCGGCCAGCAGAUGGGAACCCUCACAGCAGACCAAGAAAUGGGCGGGUGUAGUGCCCAUCUCUAGGUGGGGAAACUGAGGCUCAGGGAGGGAAGGUUGUUCCAAAGCCACCCAUUAGGAGCCCAGGGGCAUAGGGGCGGGGGAGCAGGGAGGAGCGGACCUGGGACACAGACCGUUGCAGCUGGGGCCCCCACCUACCUCACUUAUGGGAUUCCUUGGCCAGAGGAAGGAGCUGGGCUGAGGUUCAGGAGCCUGCAGUCAAGUUUCUGCCUUCCAGUCGCCGCCCUGCUGUGGCCUCACUGUGUGUCCUCGGCAAGUUCCGGUCCCUCUGAGGGCCUCAGUCUCUCUGUGAAAUUGAAGAGGCCUGGGACCAGACCAUCUGCCAUAUUCCUUUCUGUUUCUGUGACUUGAGCCCCAUGGCACCCACUCUGCCAGCAUUCAUGGGGUGCCGAGUGGGCCCAGGUGACAAAUUCUACCGCCAGUAAUCACUUGUGAAAAAUCAACAGUGAAGCCCAGCGGCUCCCGGUCCCCCGGAGAAAUCUGAGUGGAUUUCUGGAAGAACAAGUCCAAUCUCUGCCCUGCUGCCCUCCAUCUGCCUAUUUCUCUCCUAGACUUCGGCUUCAGAAAAAUGUGGUUUCAAAGCUGCAGUCCCGGCCUUCCUCAGCUGUGUGACCUUGGUUAUGUCCACGUGCCCAUUGCCUCGCCUGGGCCUCACUUUUCUCAUCUGUAUCAUGGAGUUGGCACCACCGGCUCUGCCCUCAAGGUUUGCCGCGCCUGCAGAGGCCCCUGAGCAUUCAGCAGGUGCUCACUCAGCAGGAGCUGCCAGACACUGAAUGUGUGAUGGGAAUCAUUGGAUGCUGCCGCCUCUCCGCCCACCCGCCACCUGACACUGCCUCCUGGCUCUCCAUCACUGCCCAGGAGUCGGGCAGCCUCCCCGCUCCCUGCUAUUUCUUCUCUGCACCUGACGCCGCCUCCUGGCUCUCCAUCACUGCCCAGGAGUCGGGCAGCCUCCCCGCUCCCUGCUAUUUCUUCUCUGGAGCUUCCCAGGAGGUUAAUAGCAGCUUCUCACCAGGAUAUUUGGCUUUUUAAGGAAUCUUGUUGCCUCUUUCUUCUCUGUGAGGAUAUUCUCAGGAUGGUUGUGGUGGAGAAGGGAAGGAAGGAGACUCUCGAGGCAUUUGCCAACUAAGGGGGGCACUUAGGGGUAGGUGGGGGGGGCAGUUCCGGGCAGAACUUGGGGCAGACAGUGCCCUGUUUCCAGAACAGCUCCCAGUGCUGGGCUGGGCUGGGCUUAAAUGCAGUGGGAGAAGCUCAAGGGUGGGGUGGGGUCACAGGCUCCACUUGGAAUGGGCCAGGUCAUUUGACUAUGGGGGCAUUUCUGAGCCUGGUGGGGCCUCAGUCUCCCCUCCCGGAAGAUGGGCCUGAUGAUCCAUGCCAGCCUGUAAAGGAAGGGAAAGAGUUUUGCUGAGCUGCAGAAGGAGGUGCAGACAAGGCGAGGGGCUGGGUGUUGGGGGAGGCCAGCUGAGCGCCCAGGACCCCUCUGGCCCCACCCCAGGUCCUUGGGCUCCACCUGCUCUCAGCCCUGCCCUGAGCUCAGGAAUGGUCCCAGGCCUGAGAAGGAGGUCAAAACUCUGCAGCCCUUCCACUACUACUUCGGGGGGCUCAGCACAGCUCCUCUGGGCUCAGGUCCCCAGGCCUUUCCCUGAUGUAACCCCCCAAUCAGGCCCGCCCAGUAGGGGAGGUCCACCUCUUAUGUGUGUGUUUUAAAUUGCAGUAAAAUGUACGUAACAUGAAAUUUACCAUUUUAUCUCUGUAAGCAUACAGGUCCGUGGCAUUCGGUACAUUCACAUUCCUGUGUGGCCAUGACCACCAUCCAUUUCCGGGGCUUCUGCAUGAUCCCGAACAGAAGCUUGCAUGCCCUGCGCCACGCCCCCUCCCAUGUCAACCCCCGUAACCGCUGGUCUUCGUCUCUAUGAAUUAAACUAUUCCAGGUACCUCCCAUCAGUGGAAUCAUAAAAUAUAUGUUCUUUUG
Long non-coding RNA from Pan troglodytes (chimpanzee), 2282 nucleotides. RefSeq lists it as uncharacterized. The transcript is spliced from 3 exons. Lineage: Eukaryota; Metazoa; Chordata; Mammalia; Primates; Hominidae. The record is from RefSeq and is a predicted model, not a curated record.